GUCUUGACAUACACGGAACUUUCCAGAGAUGGAUUGGUGCCUUCGGGAACCGUGAUACAGGUGCUGCAUGGCUGUCGUCAGCUCGUGUCGUGAGAUGUUGGGUUAAGUCCCGUAACGAGCGCAACCCUUAUCUUUAUUUGCCAGCACAUCAUGGUGGGAACUAUAAAGAGACUGCCGGUGAUAAACCGGAGGAAGGCGGGGACGACGUCAAGUCAUCAUGGCCCUUACGACCAGGGCUACACACGUGCUACAAUGGGAAGGACAAAGGGUCGCUAAGCCGCGAGGUGGUGCUAAUCUCAUAAACCUUUCCGUAGUCCGGAUCGGAGUCUGCAACUCGACUCCGUGAAGUCGGAAUCGCUAGUAAUCGUAGAUCAGAACGCUACGGUGAAUACGUUCCCGGGUCUUGUACACACCGCCCGUCAUACCAUGGGAGUGGGUUGCAAAAGAAGUGGGUAGCUUAUCUGGGCGCUCACCACUUUGUGAUUCAUGACUGGGGUAAAGUCGUAACAAGGUA
Molecule: ribosomal RNA, 514 nt
Filed under: uncultured marine bacterium
Lineage: Bacteria
Description: bacterial SSU rRNA
Rfam family: Bacterial small subunit ribosomal RNA
Source: RNAcentral